This 534-nucleotide long non-coding RNA is filed under the name Oryza sativa aus subgroup. RNAcentral's name for it is "lncRNA OsN22_06G014710". The record is from RNAcentral. Lineage: Eukaryota; Viridiplantae; Streptophyta; Magnoliopsida; Poales; Poaceae.
CUCUCUCCCAUUGCGAGUAGCAGCGGUGGCCUCACGGCCAAGGCGGGGUGGCGGCUACCUCCCCCACCGCGAGCAGCGGUGGCGACGGUGGCACCCUCCUGCGGCUUUCGAUGGGCGGAUCCAGCGACAAAUAUGGAUGGCGCCUCCUCAUUACUGAUGUUGCCCUCUCCGUCGGAUCUAGACCCUUCUCCGCCGACCUCCCACCCCAGGCGAUGGCAUCCAGAUCAGCUCCUCAGAAGACGCGUGGUGUGAGCCGUUAGCAGAGGGCCCCAUGGUAGCUGUGUCCUGGAGGUCGGCGAAGCGGCCUCGGCGACGGCGCGUUCUUAACGUCUUGAGCCUCUGGCGAUCGCCUCUCCUCGCCAUCUUCCUCCGCCACCACCGUCCAUUCUCACGUCGGAUGACGAGCUUGUCACCGUGUCAAGACAAAUAAAUCAAGGUCAGAAAUUACUUAUUUUUUUGUGAUUUGCUCGAUUCCGUUGGUUUCAAACUUUCAGUCCCGUGGAUCCUCCCAGCUAAUUUUAUUGAGUCCGAACC